Molecule: ribosomal RNA, 253 nt
Filed under: uncultured bacterium
Lineage: Bacteria
Description: partial 16S ribosomal RNA
Rfam family: Bacterial small subunit ribosomal RNA
Source: RNAcentral
UACGUAGGGGGCAAGCGUUAUCCGGAUUUACUGGGUGUAAAGGGAGCGUAGACGGCAUAGCAAGUCUGAAGUGAAAGCCCGUGGCUCAACCGCGGAACUGCUUUGGAAACUGUUAAGCUGGAGUACUGGAGAGGCAAGCGGAAUUCCUAAUGUAGCGGUGAAAUGCGUAGAUAUUAGGAGGAACACCAGUGGCGAAGGCGGCUUGCUGGACAGAGACUGACGUUGAGGCUCGAAAGCGUGGGGAGCAAACAGG